Molecule: ribosomal RNA, 253 nt
Filed under: uncultured bacterium
Lineage: Bacteria
Description: partial 16S ribosomal RNA
Rfam family: Bacterial small subunit ribosomal RNA
Source: RNAcentral
UACGUAGGGUGCGAGCGUUAAUCGGAAUUACUGGGCGUAAAGCGUGCGCAGGCGGUUCGUUGUGUCGGCGGUGAAAGCCCCGGGCUCAACCUGGGAAUGGCCGUUGAAACUGGCGAACUGGAGUGUGGCAGAGGGGGGUGGAAUUCCGCGUGUAGCAGUGAAAUGCGUAGAGUUGCGGAGGAACACCGAUGGCGAAGGCAGCCCCCUGGGCUGACACUGACGCUCAGGCACGAAAGCGUGGGGAGCAAACAGG